GACAGAUGAGUAGUAACAGUGGAGGAGAGGCUGGAGUAUGGGCUCAUCAAGGGUAUAGAUAAGUAUGUGGUAGAGGACACAGAGGAGGCGAGGUCCCAGGCUGAACUCUAUCCGAGGCCCCUACACGUCAUCGAGGGGCCCCUGAUGAACGGCAUGAAGGUGGUGGGAGACCUGUUUGGAGCUGGGAAGAUGUUCCUACCUCAGGUGAUAAAGUCAGCACGUGUGAUGAAGAG
This is a long non-coding RNA of Oncorhynchus tshawytscha (Chinook salmon), 233 nucleotides long. RefSeq lists it as uncharacterized. NCBI's taxonomy places the organism in Eukaryota, Metazoa, Chordata, Actinopteri, Salmoniformes, Salmonidae. The transcript is spliced from 3 exons. The record is from RefSeq and is a predicted model, not a curated record.